Molecule: long non-coding RNA, 481 nt
Filed under: Struthio camelus australis
Lineage: Eukaryota; Metazoa; Chordata; Aves; Struthioniformes; Struthionidae
Description: lncRNA (ENSSCUG00000015018.1)
Source: RNAcentral
UGCUUCGUGCUCCCUGUGCCCCCGGCACACACAUGGUUUUCUAACUUUCUGGCCUGCUGCAGCUGCGCUCGGGUUUGUACCGUAACUGAAACGCCUGCUAAAUCCGCUAGAAAUCUACCAGAAUGAAGACCGGAGUGCUAGCAAGAAGACUUCUAUCAGCGUGAGCAGCGGGCACUGAGGAGAGGCAGUACACGCGUGAUCAGGAGUUGUGAAGCUCACGACUGGGGUAUGCACUGAGUGAUCUACAAUGAGCAGCAAGCAGGAUGUCGCAGGGGGAAUGACUUUUUGUGAAUGCCAAGCGAGCAAUCUGCUGUCUGUGCUCCCACUAACGGCUCAUACAUAUUUCUUCAAUUAUCCUGUGAGCCCGAAAGAUGGCCUUUGCUGUGUUGAUUGCUGCAGCGUGUGUGGAUCUAGCUAAUGUUUCCUGAAGUCUCCUGAUCUAAGCUUGUCGUACCUAACCAGCUACUGCGUGUGGUGCCGG